GAAGGCGGCUGUGGCAGCGGUGAGAGGGGGAAGGAGACGGGAAGAGAGAAGACGGUGAUGAUGUGGGAAUUGGGUGGGAGAAGGUGUAGCUAUAGGAGGGGAAGUGACAAAUGGGAGAAAUAACGGUGGAGGAAUCGGACGGGAUGGCAUGGUGGGAAAGGUGUAGAGACUAGAAAGGAGAGAAGGGGUGGAAGCAAAGCUUCAUGUUCGUGGUUGUUCUAGCAUCUGUGGCGUGAUGGGUUCUUUCCUGUUAUUGUUGUGAAUUUUGUUUCUGUUGUGAUUUUCGCUUUUCAUGAAUGUCGGCUCACCGCCAUCGCUACGGGCCGGCCUUUUCUCGCGCUAUUAAAAA
This 349-nucleotide unclassified non-coding RNA is filed under the name Hevea brasiliensis (rubber tree). Lineage: Eukaryota; Viridiplantae; Streptophyta; Magnoliopsida; Malpighiales; Euphorbiaceae. The record is from RNAcentral.